RNAcentral lists this long non-coding RNA (408 nucleotides) under Medicago truncatula (barrel medic). Its description in RNAcentral is "long non-coding RNA (MTRU_LNC007735)". Lineage: Eukaryota; Viridiplantae; Streptophyta; Magnoliopsida; Fabales; Fabaceae. The record is from RNAcentral.
UUUGCUUCUGGAUUUGGUGUGCUUGGUGAUGAGGAGGAUGUUGAUAAUGAUGAUGAUGAGAAAUCGGAGGUAACCGGUGAGGGUGAUGACGAUGAGGAUGAACCUGUUGUUAGUUUUACAGGGAAGAAGAAAUCCUCGAAGGGUUCUAAGAAAGGUGGUGGUGGAAGUGUGUUUACGGCUGCGGCUGGUUUUGGUUUGCUUGGGGAUGAUGAAGAUGUUGAUAAUGAUGAUGGUGAGGAGAAAUCGGAUGAGGAUGAACCAGUUGUUUUUUCGGGGAAGAAGAAGCCCUCAAAGGGUUGGAAGAAAGGGGCAAGUAGUUUGUUCAGUGCAUUAGAUGAGAAUGAUGAUGGAGAGGAGGAGAGUAAGAAUGAAAAGGUAGAAGAUGAUGAUGAUGAACCAAUCACUUUC